AAACUUCUUUAUCACCGAGUGCUUGCACUCACCGAUAAAGAGUUGAGUGGCGAACGGGUGAGUAACACGUGGGCAACCUGCCCAAAAGAGGGGGAUAACACUUGGAAACAGGUGCUAAUACCGCAUAACCAUAGUUACCGCAUGGUAACUAUGUAAAAGGUGGCUAUGCUACCGCUUUUGGAUGGGCCCGCGGCGCAUUAGCUAGUUGGUGGGGUAAAGGCUUACCAAGGCAAUGAUGCGUAGCCGAACUGAGAGGUUGAUCGGCCACAUUGGGACUGAGACACGGCCCAAACUCCUACGGGAGGCAGCAGUAGGGAAUCUUCCACAAUGGGCGAAAGCCUGAUGGAGCAACGCCGCGUGGGUGAAGAAGGUCUUCGGAUCGUAAAACCCUGUUGUUAGAGAAGAAAGUGCGUGAGAGUAACUGUUCACGUUUCGACGGUAUCUAACCAGAAAGCCACGGCUAACUACGUGCCAGCAGCCGCGGUAAUACGUAGGUGGCAAGCGUUAUCCGGAUUUAUUGGGCGUAAAGGGAACGCAGGCGGUCUUUUAAGUCUGAUGUGAAAGCCUUCGGCUUAACCGGAGUAGUGCAUUGGAAACUGGGAGACUUGAGUGCAGAAGAGGAGAGUGGAACUCCAUGUGUAGCGGUGAAAUGCGUAGAUAUAUGGAAGAACACCAGUGGCGAAAGCGGCUCUCUGGUCUGUAACUGACGCUGAGGUUCGAAAGCGUGGGUAGCAA
RNAcentral lists this ribosomal RNA (735 nucleotides) under uncultured bacterium. Its description in RNAcentral is "bacterial SSU rRNA". It matches the Rfam family "Bacterial small subunit ribosomal RNA", at positions 69 to 771 of the family's 1533-position model. The record is from RNAcentral.